Cephus cinctus (wheat stem sawfly) is the source of this 1588-nucleotide long non-coding RNA. RefSeq lists it as uncharacterized. NCBI's taxonomy places the organism in Eukaryota, Metazoa, Arthropoda, Insecta, Hymenoptera, Cephidae. The record is from RefSeq and is a predicted model, not a curated record. The transcript is spliced from 3 exons.
UGCGCGCACCACUUUAUCGUUCGUCCAUGAAUCUUUCGCGUUAAAUUCGUGGACAGCCCCUCGAGCACACGUCGACAGCUCAUUUAUCGCGUCACUCUCGUUUUGAAAUACCGAUUCGUGCUUCGCUCGAGUCUACUUUAGACGAUGCUUACGUGUCUUGUACCGUUAACGAGAAAAGUAACCAAGUAAUUUCGUACGCAAGUUUGUUUAUUCUUCAUACAUAUAUCUGCUUGCUCUUUGGUCAGACAAAACAAAUGACCACAACGAUACUCGGCCGUUUAACCAGAAGAUUAACCAUGCAAUUUCUAAAGAGAUUACAUGCGUACAGAGAAAUGUUAGGUACGUUUCGAGAAUCUUAACACGAUUUAUAUUCGUGUAGCAGGAACUUAUAAGUGCUGUGAUUUGAGUUGCCAAAGGAAGUGUUGUUAACCUCCAAGUUUUUCAAACUGAUUGAAAACAUCUCGCGUCUCGCACCGACAGUACUUUAUCCAUUUCACAUCAGUCAUCCUGCCGGAUUGUAGAUAUAGAAGAAAAACAAUAUCGAAGAUCGAUAUUUCUUUUUUCAGAAUCAAUGGUCAUUAAAGAGCUAUUCAGAAUCCAGGAAGCCAUGUCUCUUCCUCCUGACAUGCGACCUAAACAAAGUUCCGUCGGAGUUCAGUCCCGAAAAUCCCGCAGAGCCAGCCAGCCGGGACGAUUUUCUUCCCGCGGGUCUCGCGACUCGCCAUGGCAAAACUUUUUGGGAUAAUGUUGUGUGCCUUCUUCCGUAGCAUAGGGGAUGAAAAGAAGGAUGCCAACGGCCUAUUAAAGUUGUUAUCUUAUCGCGGCAGUCUGUCACCCCUCGUCUUCGACGCUUCGUCGCGCACGAGCCGCUCAAAUGAUUCUGGGCGCAAUAUAUCCUCGUCAUCGGUCACCAUCGUCAUCAUUUCAUCUCAAAAGAAAAGCUUGGUCUACGGGGAGGCUGCUUCUUUUCUUUGUCCGAAAUAGUGAGAAGGGCUUUGUGAUGGUUUUUUUUUCAACACCGCAUCUUAUGUCUCUGAUGACGUUCACAAAUGCGCAGAGUAUUAACGAUUGGAAUUCAGUUAGAGAAAUUCGUUCGUAACGAGGAACGGAAAUUGGAAUUGAGAGAAAAGUUCAUUCUGGACAUUGAAUACGGUAAGAGCGAACACGUGUCUAUUGAUUUGGAUGGUAGUGUAUCCUCAGACGAAUGAAAACAUUUUGAGACAGUACUUAUCAGUGAUGUUAUUUUACGUACAGCGAAUUGAGAUCUCAAUCGGACCAAGUGGAAGGUCAUUCUUAAGAGUGCUACGGAGUCUUUCAUUAUUACCUAAAAGAAUUUGCCGACAAGACUCUACGUUUCUGUAUAACUUUGUGCAAUUGAACAUACGGAUACGGCCUUAUGAUAAGGGGACAGUAAACGAGUCCUUGGAAUCUAUUUCCAUCUUGAGUCAAAAAUAUAAAAGACAAAGAUCUUGUUAUAUGACAUGAAAUUUCUCAUUCGAAUCACGUUUUACUUAAAUUUAUCAGAUUCCAUGUAAGUAGGUAUGUCUAUAUGAUAGAUUACUAAUAAAAUUUUAUUUUUAUAAGGUCA